RNAcentral lists this ribosomal RNA (486 nucleotides) under uncultured bacterium. RNAcentral describes it as "bacterial SSU rRNA". It matches the Rfam family "Bacterial small subunit ribosomal RNA", at positions 28 to 525 of the family's 1533-position model. The record is from RNAcentral.
GAUGAACGCUAGCGGCAGGCUUAAUACAUGCAAGUCAAGGGGGUAGCAAUACUACCGGCGCACGGGUGAGUAACACGUACAUAACAUACCAUAUACUGGGGUAUAGCUUUGGGAAACUGAAGGUAAUCCCCCAUAACAUUGCGAGAGGGCAUCUGAUUGCAAUUAAAGUUUCGACGGUAUAUGAUUGAUGUGCGUUUGAUUAGCUUGUUGGUAGGGUAACGGCCUACCAAGGCGACGAUCAAUAGCUGGCGUGAGAGCGCGACCAGCCACACUGGAACUGAGACACGGUCCAGACUCCUACGGGAGGCAGCAGUAGGGAAUAUUGGACAAUGGGCGAAAGCCUGAUCCAGCCAUGCCGCGUGAUAGAUGAAGGCCCUCUGGGUUGUAAAUAUCUUUUAUCUGGGAAGAAACAAUCUUAUUCUUAAGAUCUUGACGGUACCAGAGGAAUAAGCACCGGCUAACUCUGUGCCAGCAGCCGCGGUAAAG